Molecule: long non-coding RNA, 843 nt
Organism: Gavialis gangeticus (Gharial)
Lineage: Eukaryota; Metazoa; Chordata; Crocodylia; Gavialidae
Exons: 3
Source: RefSeq, a predicted model, not a curated record
CUACUUGUCUCAUGCCCUUCUUCUCUCUUUGCAGGUGACCCCCCUUUCGGCUUGGUUCUCAUCUUGGGGGGGCCCUGGCUGCUCAGCCCCCCCAAACUCCGCACUCCCUGAAUCACGGCUCUAGCCAACCUGCUUCGCUGCUUCACCUGCGACCGUCUGUGUGGGGGCUGCACAACACCCGCCCCCCCGCCCCGCCAGGGCGUGGCUCUUCAGCCCGUCAUGCCCAGCUGUGAGCCGGUGCCACCUGCCGCCUGCCUGCCCGCCAAGACCUUCCGCAGCUACCUGCCCCGGUGCCACCGCACCUACAGCUGCAUCCACUGCCGGGCACACCUGGCCAAGCAUGACGAGCUCAUCUCAAAGGUAUGCCCCCGGCUCCCGCUGGCCAGGGGCCCCUGCCACCCGCCACUGGGCCCUUCCUUAGUGCUGGGAGCUUCUGCAUAGGAGCACCCAGCCGAGACUGCAAAACUGACAGUUUCCCCACAGCCGUGCCCUGCUAGUGCUCCCCUGAGAGUGCCCAGCUGAAGACCCAAAGUUUAUGAGCUUCCCUACAGCAGUCUCUCCAGUGCUGUGACCUUUUCCACACCAGUGCCCAGCCAGGAUCUUGUGAGUUGCCAGCACUGCCCAUUCAGUGGCCAGGCAGGACCCCAACACUGUGAACUUUCCUGCAGCAGCACCCUGCCAGUACCCUUGGCACUUUGAUCUUCUCCUCCGCAGUUCCCAGUCCUUCCAGGGGAGCCAUGGGCGUGCCUACCUGUUCAAUUCUGUCUAGUUACUGGUUACACCCAGAAUUCCCCAGGCGGGGACCAGAAUGUGGCACUGCCAGGCGCUAUACCUGAGCAAAAC